GGGGGCCAGCGGGUGGACCCUCCUUACCUUAAGAACCUGCCUUUGUAGUGCUCACACAGAUUGUCUGAUGAAAAUAAAAUAAAAAGGCUCUGCAGGCUUGUAACUCAGGUGGUUAGAGCGCACCCCUGAUAAGGGUGAGGUCGGUGGUUCAAGUCCACUCGGGCCUACCAAACCCCUGUUGAUCCAGUUGUGGGUACGUGAGUGAAACCUCGUGCCGCUAUAUCUCUACACUCCUCGUCUGGUAAAGUUUGAGAAAUUCUCAGCUUUAAGAUCUGGAUGGGGCUGCAACUUUACACCGCAAACAUGUGUUGUGUCUCAAAGACCCCCGAAAACUCGCCCUGAUGAAGGUUCAUCAAAAAAAUUCUCUCUCGCUUUGGAUCUUCAACCGAUAAUCGUACAAGGUGGGUUGGAUAGUAAUAUUCCCCAGCACUCUUGUUUCCUGAUUAAAUUUGUAACGUCACACCUUUUGACGUGUGUCCCAAUAUUCACUAAUUUUCGGAUCUUGUGCCAUAACCCAUUUAUUCCCUCUCCCCCGUUUCCACCUUUACCCCAUUAUCCCUAUUCCGUUACUUCCUUGUUAUUUUUUUUCUCUUCCCCUUUUUUUUU
RNAcentral lists this unclassified non-coding RNA (606 nucleotides) under Enterobacter cloacae. Its description in RNAcentral is "partial may contain 16S ribosomal RNA, 16S-23S ribosomal RNA intergenic spacer, and 23S ribosomal RNA". The stretch from base 94 to 167 matches the Rfam family "tRNA". Lineage: Bacteria; Pseudomonadati; Pseudomonadota; Gammaproteobacteria; Enterobacterales; Enterobacteriaceae. The record is from RNAcentral.